AGCAGAGCCAGUUGAUCAGUUGAUCUGUACCACCACACUUUGGCUCCUCCGCCCUCUGCUCUCUUCUGCUCGGCAGCCGAAUCUCCCUCCGCCCCGCCCGUGCUCAGAAACCCUCGGCGCCUUGCCCCUUUGCCAGAGGAUGCCAUUAACUCAGGUGCACAAACGUGGGGCUAUAAGCCGUUCCAUUGACAUUGGUAGGUUCUCUGAAUAUGGAGAACUGAAUCAAGCUUUGGCCCACAUGUUUGGCAUGGAAGGGCGACUCGAAGAUCGACAGAGUAUGGGUUGGAAAUGUAUCUAGCAGGAUUAUGAGGGCGACUUCCUAUUUGUCGGUGAUGACCCAUGGGAGGAGUUUGUGAUCAUCGUCAAGUCCAUUUGGAUCUUGUCGCCUCAAGAGGUUCUUCAGCCGAUGUUUCCGGGUGGUGAUUUAACAUCAAGGCUGUAGCCUACGAAAUCAAUGCAGUGAAGAAUAUAGUGUAUAUGUGUGAGCUUAUUGUUGUGAGGGCUAAAAUUCUGCCAAGACUAGCUUGAUCAUGCGCGCUGCAAUAUUUGCCGUGAGGCCUAAAUUCUCCUAAGGCUAUACAUUUGAUCAUGGGUGCUGCGACGCGCCAUUUAAAUGCUACGUGCAUUGUCUC
Molecule: long non-coding RNA, 632 nt
Organism: Triticum dicoccoides
Lineage: Eukaryota; Viridiplantae; Streptophyta; Magnoliopsida; Poales; Poaceae
Exons: 4
Source: RefSeq, a predicted model, not a curated record